AAAACACCUCCUACAAAGUUUGACCAUCCUCAACUCAAGAUCCAAAUAAGCAGGAGAAAUAUUGUGACUUCUUUUUCACAGUUUCUUCUAUCCUUCUGUCUAGUGUAGCCUGUGCCUUGAGAGAAAAAAUGACAUUGAAGAACGCUUGGCAGAAUGUGUUUGUCCAAUGGGAGUGAUACAAAACUAAGCUCUCUCCUGCAGUGCAGACAAAAACAUGUCAAGUUGCAGCAUGGACAUAUAUCUCAGAGCAAUCUUUGGGACAAAAGAAGUGUUGGGAGGAAGCAAACGAUCACAACAAUGGACUGACAGUGGACCACCACGGUGCUAGAAGGCUAGAUGACACUGAAGAUCAAAGGCUAGAUGACACUGAGGAUUGGCAAAUAAGGCUGUGUCUGUCUGGCAACCUUUGGAGGUGGAUAGGAUAAUGAAUUUGGGAUGUAACGGAUAUGUAAUACAUGUGAAAAUAUAACCUGUUCAUUUCUUGGAGAUCAUUUCUUGGAGAGUUAUCUUGAUGCUACCCCAGGGUUGCCAAUAAAGAAUACCUUGCUUAAGGGUAACA
RNAcentral lists this long non-coding RNA (559 nucleotides) under Numida meleagris (helmeted guineafowl). RNAcentral describes it as "lncRNA (ENSNMEG00000005102.1)". Lineage: Eukaryota; Metazoa; Chordata; Aves; Galliformes; Numididae. The record is from RNAcentral.